CUUUUCUCCUCUGUUACACUGCUGCAAUAAAGGUCUCUUAGUCACUCUGAGUGUUGUGGUCACUUUCCUUUCGUUGGUGCCAAAACCUGGGAAGAGGGUUAAAACCCACUUUUAGGGUCCCUCUUCCGGAAGUGCCACUCACUGGUCAGCCUGAACCCAUUUUCUUGACUGCCAGAACUCCAUCCACCCCGGCCUUCAAUUGGUGAGUUUCCCCUUCCUGGAAACUCAAUGGUGGCAUCGGGAGGAUCUGACCGUUGAUUGUCCGGCAAACCUCUUCACCCACCACAGCCUGUAAGGCCACGGUGGCCCUCAGGGACUCCUUCCUUGGGCAGAUUGGACUCUUGGGUUCAAAAUUAUUCCCCUUCCCCUUCUCAGCUGGUAGUUUACCAGCAUAGGCUUUGUAGGUCUCCCUCAAAGGACUGGUAACUGUUAGGUUGAUGGUGGUGACUUGAGGGCGACUUAGAACAAAGCAGCCCGUGGGGGGGGGGGGGACAUAUCAAUCAGGUGCCAGCGGAAAUGCCUGUCAAUCAGCCAGAUCUCCUGACUAAUGCCUGUCAAUCAGCAGGACCCCCUGGCCAAUCCUGGAGUUCAGCCAACUCCCCUGACCAACUCCAAGGGGACAAGGGACCCUAAAAACACCUUUUCCUGUCCCAAACCCUUCCCUUCCUGCUGUAAAACCCAUAAAAGUCCAGUCCAGUCGAGCUGCCACGCGGUUUCUCCUCAGACCCUUCCCCUGUCCCCUCUGUGGGUCCGAGUUCUGCCCGGGAGUGAGAUCUCAAUGAAGCUCAAACAAGCUGAGGAGAGCCCUCAGACCCCUAUCCAAGAUCUGGUGAAAAUGGCCUUUAAAGUUGCUUUGUCAUCAGUGAAAACAGGUUACUAAGAAUUAAAGUCCCUCACAGGCUUUUUGGGAUACUCACUCCCAUCUUCCCCUCUGCUCUACCUGUUCUGCUGCUCAAGUUUCCUUGCUAGGAAAAUCCCAAACCCCUUUCCCAUUCUUCUUUCACAUCUCCUUCCUCAUCCUCAGAUCCACGGAGCUGCUCUCAGCCCCGCCUUCCCCUCUUCCCACUCCCUACCCAGGCCACAGAAAAGUCUUAACUGACCUUCUCCAGAAUCUUCACCAUGGCUGAUUUUAGGACUUUCAGCAAAAGAAUCUCUACAAAAGAGUUCAGUGUAGAUAAACUUCCCUCUUUUCGUGUUGCCCUGUUUUACUUGGUCACUGGCUGGAAAAAUCAGCACUCCAGGUGCUGGACACCCCCUUACGAGUUUUUCACAAAAAUAUGUAGGCCUCUGGCCUUGAGCUGGGGCUUCUCAGAGAUGGCUACAUUUCUAAGAUAAGGAAGUUACCAACUGGGCUCCAUGGUAACAGCUGGAGGGGGAGGAAAGAAAGGGAAGGAAAAGCUCUCCUCUUCCCAGGUGUCCUUGAAGGGUUAACUUGCCCAGAACAGAGAAAAAAAAAAAUAUUAUAUCAAGCUGGUGUUCUCCAAAAGGUUGCAUGGUAAUUUUAGGCUUAUAAAAAUAACAUAUUGGAGAUUUAUUUAUAUCAUUUAAUUUUCUAUAACUGGACCUGUUAUCAAUAAGAUAAAUAUGAAGUUCUAUACACUGGGUACAAUUUAAAUGUAAUAUCAUAUUGUGUUAGCUAGUAUUCAUAUGACUUCAAGCAACAAUAUAUAUAAACUUUAUAAAAUGAUAUUUAAGAAACAAAGAUCAACUUCAAUACUAAAACACUUUACCUAAGAUUUAUAAAGAGCCUUGCCUUACCAGAGAUAAGGCUCUGCCUCCCAUCUUACUACAUGUCAAAAUGACUUUGCUGGCUAUUUAUGAUCAAGAUUUAAAGUUAAAUUAAAAGGGCCAAGAAAACCAAUAUUUGGCUCUGGCCCUCUGAGUCAGUCUGAAUCCAGGGAACAGGGAACUUCUCUAAAGAGCUUUGCAACCUGGGCCACAUAACCUCCUGAUCAGGGAGAUUAAUGAGACCACUGGAGAAUGAAAAGCCAAUCAGUGCACUUGCUGUGAAUAGGAGGGUCACUGGAGACAGGAGACAUCCCUGAAGCUUCCAAGGGAAGCCACAUGGUCAAGCAAGACCUGGACCCAUCCACAAAUGGCACUAGCAGAACUAAGAAGCUGUUCUCAAGUUCCCCCAUGACUGACCCCUAUGGGAACGUGGCUGACUCUUAACAAUAGAUAGAAACAAAGUCAAUUUUGACCAGCUUGAUCUUAAACACCUACCAAAAACGGUUAAGCCAAAACACAGUCAUUCCUGGGAGUAAUGAAGGUCAAGAACAACUAGAAAAGAGGAGACAGCAACUAAGCCAACAGGCUCCAUGGGGAAUGUUCAGUCAAGUAUGGCCUUGGCUCCUCCCCCUCGCAGGACCCCUAUUAGUCCUCUUUCUCUUCUCCUAAUAGGACCAUGACUAUUAAAUUGCCUACAGAAGUUCCUGCAAGAUCAGAUACACAAAUUCACCAACCAGUCAGUCAAUUAACUACUUCUUCAAGACUACCAGCCCUGGUGCCCAAGACAGAGACCUAUGACUCCUGACCAACUCCUCUAGCUCCAGAGACUCUACCCCCACCUAAAACCCUCCCUAAUCCCUUUUCCAGAUUUUACAACCCCUCUUUCACUUCCUAGGAAUGAGAACUACUCUCCGGCAGGUCCACUCUGCUUGUUCUACCUGCUGUACAGCAUCCCCACAAGGAAGCAUCAAACCUAAGCUCCCCACACCUCAGAUGAGGAGCCACCAGCCAGGCGAAGACUGGUAGAUCAACUCCACCCACAUGCCUAGGCACAAAAAGCUUCGCUACCUACUUACUUUGGUUGAUACUUUUUCAGGUUGGAGAGAAGCCUUCCCUACCUCCAGGGAAACUGCUGACACUGUAGCCUCCAUCCUCAUUCAGCAGAUAUUUCCAGGUUCGAACUUCCUACCUCCACCCAGUCAGACAACAGUCCGGCCUUCACUUCUCAGGUUGUUCAACUAGUCUCCAAAGGCCUCAACGUCACUUAGUCACUUAGAGGCUCCACAUCCCCCACCAGGUAAGGCUGAGAGGCCUAAUGUCAUUCUCCAGGAUCAUCUCACUAAACUUGCUAUUGAUCUCAGGCUCUUCUGGCCCAAUCUCCUGCAGUUGGCCCUCAUCUGAAUUCAGGCAGCCCCUGGAGCUCCCUCAGGCCUUAGCCCCUUUGAGCAACUCUGUGGGUGCCCUUUCUUAACCAACCAAAGCUUUCCCAUCACUCCUCCUCCCUUGUGUCCUACCUGCUGUGAUAGUAGGAGCAAAUGUGACUCCAUUUUGUUUUAUGACUUCAUCCUGUAAAACAACCAGGACAAGUAGAAGGGUCAUGACUGGAGCAAGAUGUUCUUCUCCUUUUGCUAUAGAAACCUUUAAGAAUAUGGAACUACCUAAUGGGGCAUUGUUUCUAUAACUAGGGUAACGGGGCUCUGUUUCUGUAACUGGGGUGACUGGGCUAACUGUGAUUGGUUAGGCUUCCCCCUGCUUGACUGCACUGUCCCGCUUCUAUAACCUGUCUUGCUUGCAUUGGCUAGACCCCCCAAACAUCCCUUUUGCGGUUUUCAGGCUUAUAAGGAGUGCCCUUGCAAUUGUUCGGGGCUGAUCAAGGGAAGAGCUUUAUGUUCUGGUCAGCCGCCAC
RNAcentral lists this long non-coding RNA (3634 nucleotides) under Marmota monax (woodchuck). The record is from RNAcentral. Lineage: Eukaryota; Metazoa; Chordata; Mammalia; Rodentia; Sciuridae.